Anguilla anguilla (European eel) is the source of this 3959-nucleotide long non-coding RNA. RefSeq lists it as uncharacterized. The transcript has 2 exons. Lineage: Eukaryota; Metazoa; Chordata; Actinopteri; Anguilliformes; Anguillidae. The record is from RefSeq and is a predicted model, not a curated record.
UCGGGCACAUCACGCGCAUGCUAACACUUGCUCAAGGACAACGGUGGUCUGUCCACAGAAGACCAGCCCAACUGAAGACUCAUAAGAGCUACUGAUCAUAUAGCUAAAUAUGUAAUGAACGUUAUAAAUACAACAUUGAACUAUACUAAUGCGCAUAGAAAUACAAACUGGGAUCGUAUUUGAGCUGUUAGCUCAUGAUCAGAGAAGUAAGACAAUGGGUCGAACAGUCGGCGGCUUCGGUGUGCGGUGGGUGACGGCGUGGGAUUUCCACAACACAGAAGAGACAGAAGAGCUCCCGCCCGAGCAGCCAUGAACACUCCUGCACAGACACGAACUCGAGCGGCCGAUGAGUAAUCGUGAGCGCGCAGGCAUCCCAGCUUUAAUAUUAUGGGUUUUCUGACCCUGUUGCUGAUCCUUAAAAAAGAGAUUGUGCUUACCUGGAUUGAACGAGUGUGCCUUAAUGAGAAAGACUGCGUUAAAUGUCACCAAAGCGGUAAAGAAUAAAUACUUUGAGCAGUAUUAGCGUGAGGGCGAGCACUGGCGGAAGGACGCGCUGCGCAAGCACGGAACUGCAGGGCAGACCGAACGUUGAGUAGCUGUGGGCGUGCGCACAUUUGAUUGCAAAUGGAUGCCGUUACGCAAGAAGCGCAAAUGUAGGCUACCUUACAUGAUGCCCAGCAGCCAUUGACAGAGCGUACGCUUAUGUUCUCACGCAACUCGCAACUUGUGCACAGAAAACAAGCCUCUGGAGCGCGAACCGGGGGUAAACGCGAACAGAUUUGGGGCGCGAAAAUAAGGUCACGAGCGGGAAACGGGAGCGCCACUGACUGGAUCGUGAAAACGCUUUGUAGUACUCAAUAUGUAUAAGUUCAACGUCCGUUACCACAACAAAAGACGAUUGCUGUAUUUUUCGCAAGAUGAUUAAAAAUGAUUUAUAAGGAUAUAGGCUAUUUUAUCCCAAAUUAUUAUUCAAAAAUCGGGUAGGUUAAUUAUUUUAAAAGGGCAUUUUACUGUAAUGUCUGAACAUCAACACUGUUCUUUGCUUAGGCCUCUAUGCAUUUAUGCAGCCUAAAUCACUCUGGUUAAGAGCGUCUGCUAAACGUAUGCAAAUGAAAAUGUAAACUAGUGUAGUCGAUUAACCUUUGCAAUGAAAACCGGUGGUUGCAUAGUUGGUCCGAGGAGUUCCGUUACGACAGUCAUGCAGAAGGCCAAUGAUUAGGUGACCUGUGACCAGCCAAGCAUAUAUAAUUAAAUGAUUUAGAUAGUCGGAAUAGUAGUUAUAAAUAUGCAACUCAACAGACGUAGAUGGAUCUGCAUUAUCUCUGGAAAUGUAUCCAAGUCUAAACUAUGUGCAACGCGCAGUGCAAAACCAAGAUUGUAAACAUGAAUGACAUUUGACUUUGGGUACAGUCCGUCUUCAGAUAGCAAGUCCACAGUCCAGGUCUUGUCCUUUAUAUUGGCAUGUUUUACCAAUCUCAUGUGUAUUCUUAAUCUACGACCGCUAGGGGGCACUCCAUCGCAGCAAGAGAAAUGGAGUUCAGCUCUGUAUUUAUAAAAGCAGGGGAUAUCCAGUCUUGUCUGAAAAGGGCCAGUAUGGGUGCAGGUUGUUCUUGUGCUGGGCUAAAACAAAAUUCUGCACCCACACUGGCCCUUUUUUGGAAAAGUUUGGAUAUCCCUCUUAUAAAGCAUCUCAGAGUAGGAGUGCUCAUCUAGGGUCAGGCUUCUCCUGUUCAUAUUGUAACUUCAUGCAAUAUGAGCUAAAAUUCAGUACUGAUCCUAGACCAGCACUUUUACUCUGAGAGCCUUUAGAAUACAGGUUCUGAAAUCAUUUACAUUGUCAGUGUAACACGUUGUAGCAGCACUACAGUGCUGACGUUCAAAAUUUAAAAUGUUCACCUAGAACAUUCAUUCAACAAAUACAGGAAAUGCUAACCUCUGUAAUUCUAAGGACAGCAUCAAAGUGCAAAGAUUUUGUGUGUUAACUAUUAACACAACAAAACAUCUUUUUAUGAUUACUUGCAAAGCUUCAUGAUGUAGCUUUGGUCUGCAGUGGAAACAGAAACCCCAAGAAACUACAUUUCAUAGGAAAAUACAGCACCUAGUUUCCAAAUGGCUCCUUCAGCCCACGUUAUAGUAUUUUGUGAAGCUUUAUUAGUACAAGUGUGAUGUUCAAUAAAGUAAUAUAGGAUUUUAAUGAUUAUUUAUAACAUAAUUUUUUAAAAUUAAAUAUCUCCAAAACUAGAAAGCUACAGACAUGUAGGCCUACUUCACUGUGAACUUCUCAAGGCUUGCUGAAAGGGCACGACCGUUACUUCCCUUAUCACUCAGCGAAGGUGAAGGGGUGGAGUGCGACAGCAUAGCCAAACAACUUUGUAAGUAAAACAUUGCAAGUAAAAUGCAAGUCUGCCAUGGGUGUAACUUGAGCAAGGUAAUCGAUAACAACCAAAUAAACAAGCUAAUCUUAUAUGAGGUUCUUUAGCAAACAACAGAAGGAAACAGAAGGCUAUUCGUAACAGGUCAGAUUGCAUUCCCAGAGUGCAAUCUGACCUCAUUACUGAGUAGACCUAUAUGUUCAUACUGGGCUCUCUGCAUGCCAGAGGUCAUUUAGUCUCUCUAAAUCAAAGGGCCCUGAUGCAUGUUGACAUAUGACUUGGAGGGUCAUAAGUGGGGUUUCCAUCCAACAGUUUUUAUGCAAAUUUUGAAUUUACACAAGUAAACAUGAGUGGAAACGCCUGAAAUCUGAAAAAAUGCCAAAAUAUUGCAAAAAAGUUUUUACGCUUUGCCAAAGUGGAAAAGUUGGCAUAUAGAUAAUCAUGGAUACAGAUUUUACAAGUAAAAGAUGAUGUGACAAUGACCUAAGUUAUAUUCCUCUGCUCCAGAAAACCCAAAAGUCUAAAACGGUUUACCCAAAGCUGGUGUGUGAAAUGGCUGUGUACAACAAUCUCCCAGAAUUGUGUUUGCAUUCCCAGGUGUAUAGUGGAUUCGUAGAUGAUAUAGAAAUUUGAGCUGUCAUUAAAUAGACCAUUGCAUGCCCUCUUUGUAAAUGGACUGUUUUUGCUCUCACAAUCUGAUCAUGUCCUGCACUGACAUUCUGUCACCUGAGGAUGAGUUGCUCUUCUGUUUUUCCUUACAUAUCGCACUAGUGCAUGAGCAUCACUUUGGUCAUUGAAUGUGCGCUUUCGACCACAAUUUUUACUGAUGUCUUUCCCAUAUAUCUAAAUGCAGAUGUCACUUUAGUCACUGUUCCUGUUGAAACACUAGCCAUUUGGGCAGUCUUUGUGACUGAAGCUCCUGCCAUCCGUGCCCCAAUAAUGAACCCUUUUUCAAAGUCUUACAUCUUUUACUCUUGCCAUCUUGAUCCAAAAUCGAGGUCAACUGGGUCUGCUCAACAUUUUUACACAUGCCACAGAGCAUGAUAGGAUGUUAAUUGCUUAAUUGUAUCAUGCAGUACACCUGUAUGGAAACAUCACACAUUUGUUCCCUUCUCGGUGAAAGUGGCUGAUGAAAAGUAGAGUCUUUUGCACUGAAGACUAUAGUGGUGAUCACACAUUUUUAAUUGCAGCAGUGUCUUAAAUAAACCUUGGCUCACUUUGAGUGCACUAUUCCCAUGGCAACCACCCUCUGCAUCCAGGGUCCAUGACAACAAGGCAUCACCCAGUAUUUAUGCACUUCUGCCUUCAAACAUGCCAUCUCAGACAUUUUCACUGAUUCCUGCAACUGUUCUUCUACCAUGUAAUAUCCCCAAAACACUCUUUGGUUUUUUUUUUUCCCCUCUCCCCCAUAUCUCGUUUGUUGACUGUUAUUUGCUUGCCUGUGUUUUCAUAUGCCUAUGUUUAGUUUGUUAUUAUUGAUGUAUUUUGUGCUUUUAACAUGCUUUUAUCUUCUAGCCCACCUCCCCUUCCCUUAAGUGGCUUUUGUCACUUGUCAGGCCGUCAUUGUAAAUAAGAACUUGUUCUUAA